Molecule: ribosomal RNA, 254 nt
Filed under: uncultured bacterium
Lineage: Bacteria
Description: partial 16S ribosomal RNA
Rfam family: Bacterial small subunit ribosomal RNA
Source: RNAcentral
UACGUAGGAGGCGAGCGUUGUCCGGAGUUACUGGGCGUAAAGGGUGCGCAGGCGGCGGUUCGCGUGGCGAGAUGAAAUCUCCUGGCUUACCUGGGAGGAUGGUCGCCAGACGGGAUCGCUUGAGGGUCGGAGAGGGGCGUGGAAUUCCGGGUGGAGCGGUGAAAUGCGUAGAGAUCCGGAGGAACACCGACGGCGUAGGCAGCCUCCUGGGCCAGCACUGACGCUCAUGCACGAAAGCGUGGGGAGCAAACAGG